UGGGGAAUUUUGCACAAUGGGGGAAACCCUGAUGCAGCGACGCCGCGUGAUUUAGAAGGCCUUUGGGUUGUAAAAAUCUUUUUUACGGGAUGAAAAUGACAGUACCGUAAGAAUAAGGUCCGGCUAAAUACGUGCCAGCAGCCGCGGUAAUACGUAUGGACCGAGCGUUGUCCGGAAUCAUUGGGCGUAAAGGGUACGUAGGCGGCCUAGUAAGUUAGAAGUGAAAUAAUAUAGCUCAACUAUAUAAAGCUUUUAAAACUGCUAGGCUUGAGAGAUGGAAGGGAAAGUGGAAUUCCUAGUGUAGCGGUGAAAUGCGCAGAUAUUAGGAAGAAUACCGGUGGCGAAGGCGACUUUCUGGUCAUCAUCUGACGCUGAGGUACGAAAGCGUGGGUAGCAAACAGG
This 402-nucleotide ribosomal RNA is filed under the name bacterium. RNAcentral describes it as "partial 16S ribosomal RNA". It matches the Rfam family "Bacterial small subunit ribosomal RNA", at positions 355 to 776 of the family's 1533-position model. The record is from RNAcentral.